RNAcentral lists this ribosomal RNA (1394 nucleotides) under uncultured Pseudoramibacter sp. RNAcentral describes it as "bacterial SSU rRNA". It matches the Rfam family "Bacterial small subunit ribosomal RNA". Lineage: Bacteria; Bacillati; Bacillota; Clostridia; Eubacteriales; Eubacteriaceae. The record is from RNAcentral.
UUGAUCCUGGCUCAGGACGAACGCUGGCGGUAUGCUUAACACAUGCAAGUCGAACGAGAAAAUUCUUAAUGAACCUUCGGGCGAUUUAGGAAUCGGAAAGUGGCGAACGGGUGAGUAACGCGUGGGUAACCUGCCUCAUGGAAAGGAACAGCCCUGGGAAACCGGGAGUAAAGCCUUAUAACAUUACAGAUUCGCAUGGAUCUGCAAUCAAAACUCCGGUGCCAUGAGAUGGACCCGCGUUCCAUUAGCCAGUUGGUGAGGUAACGGCCCACCAAAGCGACGAUAGAUAGCCGGUUCUGAAGCAAGGCCACAUUGGAACUGAGCACGUCCAAACUCCUACGGGAGGCAGCAGUGGGGAAUAUUGCGCAAUGGGGGAAACCCUGACGCAGCAAUACCGCGUGAGUGAAGAAGGUUUUCGGAUCGUAAAGCUCUGUUAUUGGGGAAGAAGAAGUGACGGUACCCAAUGAGGAAGUCCCGGCUAACUACGUGCCAGCAGCCGCGGUAAUACGUAGGGGACAAGCGUUGUCCGGAAUCACUGGGCGUAAAGGGCGCGUAGGCGGUUAUAUAAGUCAGAUGUGAAAGGUACCGGGCUCAACCGGUGACAUGCAUUUGAAACUGUAAAACUUGAGUACUGGAGAGGCAAGUGGAAUUCCUAGUGUAGCGGUGAAAUGCGUAGAUAUUAGGAGGAACACCGGUGGCGAAGGCGGCUUGCUGGACAGAUACUGACGCUGAGGUGCGAAAGCAUGGGGAGCGAACAGGAUUAGAUACCCUGGUAGUCCAUGCCGUAAACGAUGAUAACUAGGUGUUGGCGUAGCCAGUGCCGAAGCAAACGCAUUAAGUUAUCCGCCUGGGGAGUACGACCGCAAGGUUGAAACUCAAAGGAAUUGACGGGGACCCGCACAAGCAGCGGAGCAUGUGGUUUAAUUCGAAGCAACGCGAAGAACUUACCAGGCCUUGACAUCCCCUGACAGGAUUAGAGAUAAUUUUUUUCCUUCGGGAACAGGGAGACAGGUGUGCAUGGUUGUCGUCAGCUCGUGUCGUGAGAUGUUGGGUUAAGUCCCGCACGAGCGCACCCCUGUUAAUAGUUGCCAGCAUUGAGUUGGCACUCUAUUGAACUGCCGUAACAAUACGAGAAGGUGGGGACGACGUUCAAAUCAUCAUGCCCUUAUGGCCGUGGGGCUACACACACGGUGUGCUUCAAUGGUUUGAACAAAGGGAAGCGAAACCGCGAGGCGAAGCCAAUCCCAUAAAACAAAUCCCAGUUCGGAUUGCAGGCUGAAACCCGCCUGUAUGAAGAUGGAGUUGCUAGUAAUCGCGGAUCAGAAUGCCGCGGUGAAUGCGUUCCCGGGUCUUGUACACACCGCCCGUCACACCACGAGAGUUGGCAACACCCG